GGAAGAUUACUUGGAACGAAUGCAAAGAUGUCGAGAAUAUGUGACGCCCUUGAAGAAGAACACCGUAAGAUCCAGGUCUUCCAUCGUGAACUUCCCCUCUGCCUCGAGCUUGUUACCCAAGCCAUCAAUGCUUGCUGGAAUCAGGUUGGAACCACCGCCGCAGAGGCGGAGUAUUUCCCCGGAAGAUCUGAGUGUUCAGAGCAGACAUCAAGCGAAGGACCCAUGUUAGAAGAAUUUAUUCCUACAAAACGAAACUCUUCUUCCACAGAAGAAGAAUCUCAAAACAAAUCCAAAUGUGAAGAAAGAAACGAUAAGGAUAAACCCCUUUAGAAGACUGAUUGGUUAAGAUCUGCUCAACUCUGGAACACAGACUCAGAUCCACAAUCCCCUAAACAGGAUCAAGCAGAGAAGGCCUUGCUGAUUGAACCAAAGAAAAGUGGGUGCAUUUCAUGCUUUUAAGAGAGAUAAUAAACGGGUUACUGCAACAACAUCCAUUGCUACAAUUCCAUCUUCAGCCCAAGCA
Long non-coding RNA from Telopea speciosissima, 523 nucleotides. RefSeq lists it as uncharacterized. The transcript is spliced from 3 exons. NCBI's taxonomy places the organism in Eukaryota, Viridiplantae, Streptophyta, Magnoliopsida, Proteales, Proteaceae. The record is from RefSeq and is a predicted model, not a curated record.